This 1118-nucleotide ribosomal RNA is filed under the name Oxygymnocypris stewartii. RNAcentral's name for it is "partial 16S ribosomal RNA". It matches the Rfam family "Bacterial large subunit ribosomal RNA", at positions 157 to 2065 of the family's 2925-position model. The record is from RNAcentral. Lineage: Eukaryota; Metazoa; Chordata; Actinopteri; Cypriniformes; Cyprinidae.
GCCAAACAGCUAGCUCAACUAACCAAUAACUAAACAAUGUAAAUAAAACAAAAUAAGCCUAACACCAAAAAUUAAACCAUUCUUUUACCUUAGUAUGGGCGACAGAAAAGGUCACACCCGGAGCAAUAGAAAAAGUACCGCAAGGGAAAGCUGAAAGAGAAAUGAAAUAACUCAUAUAAGCACCAAAAAGCAAAGAUUAAAUCUUGUACCUUUCGCAUCAUGAUUUAGCCAGUAUACCCAAGCAAAGAGACCUUUAGUUUGAAACCCCGAAACCAAGUGAGCUACCCCGAGACAGCCUAUUAAGGGCCAACCCGUCUCUGUGGCAAAAGAGUGGGAAGAGCUCCGGGUAGAGGUGACAAACCUACCGAGCUUGGUGAUAGCUGGUUGCCUAAGAAGUGAAUAGAAGUUCAGCCUCGUGCUCCCCAAAUCAAAGAGUAGAGAAAGAUGCUAGAGGGAAAUAUAUGAGAGUUAGUUAAAGGGGGUACAGCCCCUUUAACAAAGGACACAACCUUUCCAGGAGGAUAAAGAUCAUAAUACAUAAGACAUACUGUUCUAGUGGGCCUAAAGGCAGCCAUCUAAACAGAAAGCGUUAAAGCUCAGACAGAAAUAAGUUUAUUAUUCCGACAAGAAAUCUUACUCCCCUAAAUAUUAUUAGGCCAGCCCAUGCCCACAUGGGAGAGACUAUGCUAAAAUGAGUAACAAGAAGGCCAGCCCUUCUCCAAGCACAAGUGUAAGCCAAACCGGACUCACCAUUGGCAAUUAACGAACUCAACCCAAGAGAGCAAUGUGAACUGCAACGAAGCCAGGAAGAACCCACAAUCAACCCAUCGUUACCCCCACACUGGUGUGCUAUUAAAGGAAAGACUAAAAGAAGGGGAAGGAACUCGGCAAACACAAGCCUCGCCUGUUUACCAAAAACAUCGCCUCCUGCAACACAACCAAGUAUAGGAGGUCCAGCCUGCCCAGUGACUACAAGUUCAACGGCCGCGGUAUUUUGACCGUGCAAAGGUAGCGCAAUCACUUGUCUCUUAAAUAGAGACCUGUAUGAAUGGCUAAACGAGGGCUUAACUGUCUCCCCCCUCCAGUCAGUGAAAUUGAUCUACCCGUGCAGAAGCGGG